AUUAAUGAGAGUUUGAUCCUGGCUCAGGACGAACGCUGGCGGCGUGCCUAAUACAUGCAAGUAGAACGCUGAAGAGAGGAGCUUGCUCUUCUUGGAUGAGUUGCGAACGGGUGAGUAACGCGUAGGUAACCUGCCUUGUAGCGGGGGAUAACUAUUGGAAACGAUAGCUAAUACCGCAUAACAAUGGAUGACACAUGUCAUUUAUUUGAAAGGGGCAAUUGCUCCACUACAAGAUGGACCUGCGUUGUAUUAGCUAGUAGGUGAGGUAAUGGCUCACCUAGGCGACGAUACAUAGCCGACCUGAGAGGGUGAUCGGCCACACUGGGACUGAGACACGGCCCAGACUCCUACGGGAGGCAGCAGUAGGGAAUCUUCGGCAAUGGGGGCAACCCUGACCGAGCAACGCCGCGUGAGUGAAGAAGGUUUUCGGAUCGUAAAGCUCUGUUGUAAGUCAAGAACGGGUGUGAGAGUGGAAAGUUCACACUGUGACGGUAGCUUACCAGAAAGGGACGGCUAACUACGUGCCAGCAGCCGCGGUAAUACGUAGGUCCCGAGCGUUGUCCGGAUUUAUUGGGCGUAAAGCGAGCGCAGGCGGUUUGAUAAGUCUGAAGUUAAAGGCUGUGGCUCAACCAUAGUUCGCUUUGGAAACUGUCAAACUUGAGUGCAGAAGGGGAGAGUGGAAUUCCAUGUGUAGCGGUGAAAUGCGUAGAUAUAUGGAGGAACACCGGUGGCGAAAGCGGCUCUCUGGUCUGUAACUGACGCUGAGGCUCGAAAGCGUGGGGAGCGAACAGGAUUAGAUACCCUGGUAGUCCACGCCGUAAACGAUGAGUGCUAGGUGUUGGAUCCUUUCCGGGAUUCAGUGCCGCAGCUAACGCAUUAAGCACUCCGCCUGGGGAGUACGACCGCAAGGUUGAAACUCAAAAGGAAUUGACGGGGGCCCGCACAAGCGGUGGAGCAUGUGGUUUAAUUCGAAGCAACGCGAAGAACCUUACCAGGUCUUGACAUCCCGAUGCUAUUUCUAGAGAUAGAAAGUUACUUCGGUACAUCGGUGACAGGUGGUGCAUGGUUGUCGUCAGCUCGUGUCGUGAGAUGUUGGGUUAAGUCCCGCAACGAGCGCAACCCCUAUUGUUAGUUGCCAUCAUUCAGUUGGGCACUCUAGCGAGACUGCCGGUAAUAAACCGGAGGAAGGUGGGGAUGACGUCAAAUCAUCAUGCCCCUUAUGACCUGGGCUACACACGUGCUACAAUGGUUGGUACAACGAGUUGCGAGUCGGUGACGGCGAGCUAAUCUCUUAAAGCCAAUCUCAGUUCGGAUUGUAGGCUGCAACUCGCCUACAUGAAGUCGGAAUCGCUAGUAAUCGCGGAUCAGCACGCCGCGGUGAAUACGUUCCCGGGCCUUGUACACACCGCCCGUCACACCACGAGAGUUUGUAACACCCGAAGUCGGUGAGGUAACCUUUUGGAGCCAGCCGCCUAAGGUGGGACAGAUGAUUGGGGUGAAGUCGUAACAAGGUAGCCGUAUCGGAAGGUGCGGCUGGAUCACCUCCUUU
RNAcentral lists this ribosomal RNA (1549 nucleotides) under Streptococcus thermophilus. RNAcentral's name for it is "bacterial SSU rRNA". It matches the Rfam family "Bacterial small subunit ribosomal RNA". Lineage: Bacteria; Bacillati; Bacillota; Bacilli; Lactobacillales; Streptococcaceae. The record is from RNAcentral.